This 468-nucleotide ribosomal RNA is filed under the name uncultured bacterium. RNAcentral describes it as "partial 16S ribosomal RNA". It matches the Rfam family "Bacterial small subunit ribosomal RNA", at positions 28 to 507 of the family's 1533-position model. The record is from RNAcentral.
GACGAACGCUGGCGGCGUGCUUAACACAUGCAAGUCGAACGGAAAGGCCCUGCUUUUGUGGGGUGCUCGAGUGGCGAACGGGUGAGUAACACGUGAGUAACCUGCCCUUGACUUUGGGAUAACUUCAGGAAACUGGAGCUAAUACCGGAUAGGAGCUCCUGCUGCAUGGUGGGGGUGGGAAAGAUUCGGCGGUUGGGGAUGGACUCGCGGCUUAUCAGCUUGUUGGUGGGGUAGUGGCUUACCAAGGCUUUGACGGGUAGCCGGCCUGCGAGGGUGACAGGACAAACUGGGACUGAGAUACGGCCCAGACUCCUACGGGAGGCAGCAGUGGGGAAUAUUGCACAAUGGGCGGAAGCCUGAUGCAGCAACGCCGCGUGCGGGAUGACGGCCUUCGGGUUGUAAACCGCUUUCGCCUGUGACGAAGCGUGAGUGACGGUAAUGGGUAAAGAAGCACCGGCUAACUACGUG